UACGUAGGGUGCGAGCGUUAAUCGGAAUUACUGGGCGUAAAGCGUGCGCAGGCGGCCAUGCAAGACAGAUGUGAAAUCCCCGGGCUCAACCUGGGAACUGCAUUUGUGACUGCAUGGCUGGAGUGCGGCAGAGGGGGAUGGAAUUCCGCGUGUAGCAGUGAAAUGCGUAGAUAUGCGGAGGAACACCAAUGGCGAAGGCAAUCCCCUGGGCCUGCACUGACGCUCAUGCACGAAAGCGUGGGGAGCAAACAGG
Molecule: ribosomal RNA, 253 nt
Filed under: uncultured bacterium
Lineage: Bacteria
Description: partial 16S ribosomal RNA
Rfam family: Bacterial small subunit ribosomal RNA
Source: RNAcentral